RNAcentral lists this ribosomal RNA (254 nucleotides) under uncultured bacterium. Its description in RNAcentral is "partial 16S ribosomal RNA". It matches the Rfam family "Bacterial small subunit ribosomal RNA", at positions 524 to 776 of the family's 1533-position model. The record is from RNAcentral.
UACGUAGGGACCGAGCGUUGUCCGGAAUCAUUGGGCGUAAAGAGCGUGUAGGCGGCCAGUGUAGGUCCGGUGUGAAACUCGAGGCUUAAACCUCGAGAUGUCAUCGGAAACCACUUUGGCUAGAGUCCGGAAGAGGAGAGUGGAAUCCUGGUGUAGCGGUGGAAUGCGCAGAUAUCAGGAGGAACACCGAUGGCGAAGGCAGAUCUCUGGGCCGUAACUGACGCUGAGGAGCGAAAGACUGGGGAGCGAACAGG